RNAcentral lists this ribosomal RNA (497 nucleotides) under uncultured bacterium. RNAcentral's name for it is "partial 16S ribosomal RNA". It matches the Rfam family "Bacterial small subunit ribosomal RNA", at positions 28 to 507 of the family's 1533-position model. The record is from RNAcentral.
GAUGAACGCUGGCGGCGUGCCUAAUACAUGCAAGUCGAGCGAACAGACGAGGAGCUUGCUCCUCUGACGUUAGCGGCGGACGGGUGAGUAACACGUGGAUAACCUACCUUUAAGACUGGGAUAACUUCGGGAAACCGGAGCUAAUACCGGAUAAUAUAUUGAACCGCAUGGUUCAAUAGUGAAAGACGGUUUUGCUGCCACUUAUAGAUGGAUCCGCGCCGCAUUAGCUAGUUGGUAAGGUAACGGCUUACCAAGGCAACGAUGCGUAGCCGACCUGAGAGGGUGAUCGGCCACACUGGAACUGAGACACGGUCCAGACUCCUACGGGAGGCAGCAGUAGGGAAUCUUCCGCAAUGGGCGAAAGCCUGACGGAGCAACGCCGCGUGAGUGAUGAAGGUCUUCGGAUCGUAAAACUCUGUUAUUAGGGAAGAACAAAUGUGUAAGUAACUAUGCACGUCUUGACGGUACCUAAUCAGAAAGCCACGGCUAACUACGUG